This 74-nucleotide transfer RNA is filed under the name Candidatus Amoebophilus asiaticus 5a2. Its description in RNAcentral is "tRNA-Ala (GGC) (tRNA-Ala-GGC-1-1)". It matches the Rfam family "tRNA". From Rfam's summary of the family: Transfer RNA (tRNA) molecules are approximately 80 nucleotides in length. Their secondary structure includes four short double-helical elements and three loops (D, anti-codon, and T loops). Further hydrogen bonds mediate the characteristic L-shaped molecular structure. tRNAs have two regions of fundamental functional importance: the anti-codon, which is responsible for specific mRNA codon recognition, and the 3' end, to which the tRNAs corresponding amino acid is attached (by aminoacyl-tRNA synthetases). tRNAs cope with the degeneracy of the genetic code in two manners: having more than one tRNA (with a specific anti-codon) for a particular amino acid; and 'wobble' base-pairing, i.e. permitting non-standard base-pairing at the 3rd anti-codon position. The record is from Rfam by way of RNAcentral. RNAcentral also lists the same sequence under 1 other name. Lineage: Bacteria; Pseudomonadati; Bacteroidota; Cytophagia; Cytophagales; Amoebophilaceae.
GGGGAAUUAGCUCAGUUGGCUAGAGCGUCUCAAUGGCAUUGAGAAGGUCGGGGGUUCGACUCCCCCAUUCUCCA